CCGCAGAGCAGAGCGAGGACUCGUACCGAGUGCCGGGACAAAAAUAUCGAACCGGCCCGGACUUGUUUCUUCACUUGCCCUGAGUUGCAGGGAUCUCUCUCUAAACACAACAAAAAAGACUCGGCUCAGCUCGGAAGGUACGCUUAACUCUCUCUCAAAAGUCUUAAACUCAACCCAGGAGACGCUCUCUAUCUCGCUGGACACAGGAGAUACGAUUAACUGGGAGAAGGGAGUAGUUCAUGGAAGAGGAGGCGUGGAACAAAGAGAUAGUUCCUCGAGUGUUGCAGUUAGUUAGCCAGAGGCAGAGGCUAGGUCUCAGGGACCUCUGCACUCUGUUGCUUCUCAGUCCAUCUUGUUACCACGCCCUUCUUUCUCACCAUCAUCUGUGGGAGGUUCUCGACUUGCAUGAAAUGAAUAAUGCUGGGGAGCGACUCCUGGCUGCUCUUUCGUUGCCAAGGUACCAACAUGUUAAGUAUUUGAAUCUGGAAUUUGCACAAGAUAUUGAAGACAAACAUGUCAUGCAGCUUAAAGGGAAGUCACUCAUGGACUUGAGGUCUCUUAAUUUAAAUGGAUGUCAAAAAAUUUCUGAUGAUGGAAUUGAAGCGGUUACUGCUGCAUGCCCGAAUAUCAGGAUUUUCUCUAUCUAUUGGAAUGUAAGGGUCACUUACGUUAGUGUAAAGCAUCUCGUGAACAACUGCAAGGAAAUAACUGAAUUGAACUUAAGUGGCUGUAAGAAAAUUUCAGUUGGAAGCUGGCAACUCAUUGCAGACCAUUAUUCAAAAUUGGAAGUGUUGAAUUUGACCAGGUGCAUCAAGCUAACAGAUAAUGGGCUGCAACAGAUACUUCUUUACUGCCCAAUGAUUAUGAGCUUGAAUCUCUAUGCCCUGUCAAGUUUAACAGAUAAUGCUUAUCAAAUGAUCUCGUUUUUGACCAAUUUAAGAUUCCUGGAUCUUUGUGGUGCACAGAACCUCUCUGACCAGGGUCUUUCUUCAAUAGCCAAAUGCAAGAAUCUGGUAUCUUUGAAUUUGACAUGGUGUGUUAACGUCACUGAUGUUGGCGUUCUUGCUCUUGCUAGCACUUGCACCUCCCUUGAGUAUCUUAGCUUGUUUGGGAUCACUGGGGUGACUGACAAAAGUCUAGAAGCUCUCUCAAGAUCUUGUUCGGCAACUCUUUCAACCCUUGACGUAAAUGGAUGCAUUGGCAUUAAGAGGCGGAAUCGAAAUGAGUUGUUGGAAUUGUUCCCAAAACUGCGUUGCUUUAAAGUGCACAGCUGAUGGUUCGGGAAAUGUCAAUGGAAGAAGGUUCAAUGAUGAUGAUAAAUUCUCAAGGCACAUGUCCAAUUACAACAUUCAUGUUGCUGGGAUGACAAAAAUGUCAGAGGUCAAUAUGGUUGUCAAAUGGCAAAUCCCAAUAGAAUCUCUAAUUUAAAUUAAAUAUAUAAACAUCCACAUAAAUAUCCAUUGAUACUGUUCCCAAAAAUUGGAGAUCUGAGACCUUCCUUCACCAAGUGUAUUCUUUGGAUAGAAUCUUGCUAAUUUCUUGUGAAAUACUCAGUAAUACAGGGGCAGACAGUGCAAGUUUGUUGUAAUGAAAGAUGAAAUACAUCUCGAGUUGGGAGCAGCUCGACCUCGAUCUUGAAGCCAAUCACCAUCUACUAAUUGGUGAUGUAAGCUCACCAUGCGCCUCGGCACAUUUUCUUCAC
Amborella trichopoda is the source of this 1702-nucleotide non-coding RNA. Lineage: Eukaryota; Viridiplantae; Streptophyta; Magnoliopsida; Amborellales; Amborellaceae. The record is from RefSeq and is a predicted model, not a curated record.